Labrus mixtus (cuckoo wrasse) is the source of this 615-nucleotide long non-coding RNA. RefSeq lists it as uncharacterized. The transcript has 2 exons. NCBI's taxonomy places the organism in Eukaryota, Metazoa, Chordata, Actinopteri, Labriformes, Labridae. The record is from RefSeq and is a predicted model, not a curated record.
UGUUUCAGACCUUCCCUAAACAUGCAGACAUUUCUCUGAGCCCUACAGAAUAAAUGUUCUCCAGGAUCCAGGUAUUAUUAUCCUGCUGGAUUCUGGGACACUAUCUCUGCAGAGUUCAGAAAAAACCUCAGUCCAAGCUAACAAAGUUAGAACCAAAUCUUAAGCUAACUGUACAGAAAACGAGGAAGACUGGCAGACAUUGAGUUUUAUUAAUGCUUGUUAUAAAAACAGUUUGUUUUUCUGUAUCUGUUUUAAAGUUUUUAUCUCCUUUGCUGCUCGAUAAGAACGAACACCUCACCGAGAGUUUCAGCUUAGUUCAUGUCCUGAGUUUAAAAAAACUGAACUUUGUUCAAAAAGUAUAAAACUACAACCAGCUGAACAAUUAAUUAAACAUAUGGCAAACUUGUGUUUCAGAUGUCAGAAACUGUUCCUGUAAAUAUUUUCACUUUGAGUUCUUCUAAUGUCGUUUAGUAAAGACAGCUGAAAAACAUUAAAGGUCAAUUAUUCAAGAGUUCAAAGGGUUAAGUCUGGAAACUCAAAGAUAAUUUAAAUAUCUUGUAUGCAACUAUGGACAUUCAUGUUUUGUACAGCUUCAAUAAAAGCGAUGAAAUCUUC